UACGGAGGGGGUAGCGUUGUUCGGAAUUACUGGGCGUAAAGCGCGCGUAGGCGGAUUAGAAAGUUGGGGGUGAAAUCCCGGGGCUCAACCUCGGAACUGCCUCCAAAACUGCUAGUCUAGAGUUCGAGAGAGGUGAGUGGAAUUCCGAGUGUAGAGGUGAAAUUCGUAGAUAUUCGGAGGAACACCAGUGGCGAAGGCGGCUCACUGGCUCGAUACUGACGCUGAGGUGCGAAAGUGUGGGGAGCAAACAGG
RNAcentral lists this ribosomal RNA (252 nucleotides) under uncultured bacterium. RNAcentral describes it as "partial 16S ribosomal RNA". It matches the Rfam family "Bacterial small subunit ribosomal RNA", at positions 524 to 776 of the family's 1533-position model. The record is from RNAcentral.